RNAcentral lists this ribosomal RNA (1415 nucleotides) under Priestia aryabhattai. RNAcentral's name for it is "partial 23S ribosomal RNA". It matches the Rfam family "Bacterial large subunit ribosomal RNA", at positions 1517 to 2925 of the family's 2925-position model. The record is from RNAcentral. Lineage: Bacteria; Bacillati; Bacillota; Bacilli; Caryophanales; Bacillaceae.
CAGUUAGGCUGAUGAGUAGGCAAAUCCGCUCAUCAUAAAGGCUGAGCUGUGAUGACGAGGGAAUUAUAGUACCGAAGUUCCUGAUUCCACACUGCCAAGAAAAGCCUCUAGCGAGGCGGGAGGUGCCCGUACCGCAAACCGACACAGGUAGGCGAGGAGAGAAUCCUAAGGUGAUCGAGAGAACUCUCGUUAAGGAACUCGGCAAAAUGACCCCGUAACUUCGGGAGAAGGGGUGCUCUGGUAGGGUGUAUAGCCCGAGAGAGCCGCAGUGAAUAGGCCCAGGCGACUGUUUAGCAAAAACACAGGUCUCUGCGAAGCCGCAAGGCGAAGUAUAGGGGCUGACGCCUGCCCGGUGCUGGAAGGUUAAGAGGAGGGGUUAUCCUUUGGGAGAAGCUCUGAAUCGAAGCCCCAGUAAACGGCGGCCGUAACUAUAACGGUCCUAAGGUAGCGAAAUUCCUUGUCGGGUAAGUUCCGACCCGCACGAAAGGCGUAACGAUCUGGGCACUGUCUCAACGAGAGACUCGGUGAAAUUAUAGUACCUGUGAAGAUGCAGGUUACCCGCGACAGGACGGAAAGACCCCGUGGAGCUUUACUGUAGCCUGAUAUUGAAUUUUGGUACAGCUUGUACAGGAUAGGUAGGAGCCUGAGAAGCCGGAGCGCUAGCUUCGGUGGAGGCGUCGGUGGGAUACUACCCUGGCUGUAUUGAAAUUCUAACCCGCGGCCCUGAUCGGGCCGGGAGACAGUGUCAGGUGGGCAGUUUGACUGGGGCGGUCGCCUCCUAAAAUGUAACGGAGGCGCCCAAAGGUUCCCUCAGAAUGGUUGGAAAUCAUUCGUAGAGUGUAAAGGCACAAGGGAGCUUGACUGCGAGACCUACAAGUCGAGCAGGGACGAAAGUCGGGCUUAGUGAUCCGGUGGUUCCGCAUGGAAGGGCCAUCGCUCAACGGAUAAAAGCUACCCCGGGGAUAACAGGCUUAUCUCCCCCAAGAGUCCACAUCGACGGGGAGGUUUGGCACCUCGAUGUCGGCUCAUCGCAUCCUGGGGCUGUAGUCGGUCCCAAGGGUUGGGCUGUUCGCCCAUUAAAGCGGUACGCGAGCUGGGUUCAGAACGUCGUGAGACAGUUCGGUCCCUAUCCGUCGUGGGCGUAGGAAAUUUGAGAGGAGCUGUCCUUAGUACGAGAGGACCGGGAUGGACACACCGCUGGUGUACCAGUUGUCUUGCCAAAGGCAUCGCUGGGUAGCUAUGUGUGGACGGGAUAAGUGCUGAAAGCAUCUAAGCAUGAAGCCCCCCUCAAGAUGAGAUUUCCCAUAGCGCAAGCUAGUAAGAUCCCUGAAAGAUGAUCAGGUUGAUAGGUCAGAGGUGGAAGCGUGGCGACAUGUGUAGCUGACUGAUACUAAUCGAUCGAGGACUUAACCAAA